UGUGUUGUGCUGUGUGGACCAGAAAUAAAAAGUCUCUUUAAUGGCAGCCCUUCAAAAGCAUUACUCAAAAGUCAUGAUCAUGUUCUAAUUAUUAUGGGGUGUGUACUGAAUCUCAAAUAAAGUCAGACUUUUUGAAGGCAAAGAAAGCCUACGUUUCAUGCUCCUAAGUUAAUGAAGAUAAAAAUUCAACGUUUGUACAUGGAUGGCAACCACAAAAGCUUUGUUAAGAUAAUAGCCAUACUCUUCGUCUCACAUAACAGUGAUGCUUCUGUCAAAGAGCUUCACAGAAGUUUGGCAGAUUGAAUAAAAUUGAUGAAUAAUGGCUUUCAAUUAGUGGUGCAAAAGAGCAAUACCAUUCACUUCAUUCUAGUGUAACUUGUUAUAUUUUCCAGAUUCUUUUUAAACCAGAAGACAAGGUCUUUAUGUGUACUGUGUGAUAUAGUAUUAUAUACUCAUGGAGCCUUAUAUAUAAAGGAUGCAGUUCCUAAUAUUUUUAACAAUAAACAGCAGAUUUGCCAUGGCAUCUACUUAUAGGUUGGGGAAGUCAAAAGAGAGAAAUGCAAUGAACUUGAUUGGAUAUUAGUGAAUUAUACAUAUAGUCAUGGGCAUGGGGUUAAUAUAUUUGUACUAACAAAUAGAGGAGAUUCCUUCAUUCAGGAAACUUUUGUACAGCCUGUGCUGUGAAAGAUAACGAGGCACAGCAAUGUUUCCUUUUACCAUAAAACAAAGGAAAUUGCACCAAAAGAGAGUGUUGAGAAGAGGUUAAACAGUGGUCAGCAAGGCAAAAGAAGAUGAAAAUUAUUGGAUUUGGCUUUGAGAAGGAUAUAGUGACUUUUAAAAGAGUGAUUUUCAUGACUUAGAUCGAAAUCUGUUAAAAGGUUAAAAAAAGAGAUCCUUUAAACACAGUUUAUGCUUUCAACGGGUUGGAACAAAGAAGACAGGAAAAGACUGAGUUUCAGUGUGAAGGUUCAAAGGCAUAUUUAGUCAAGGUUUCACUUUGUUUUGGUUGUUGAUUGGGGGGGGUUGUAUUUUGGAUAGGACAAAUAAUAUAAAUCUCACAAAAACUUAAAAUAUUUUAAAAGAGUUGCAGUGACAUCCUUAUUUUGCUUGUCCUAAAUUUCAAAAUAGCACAAAUGUGAUUUUUCUAUGCAGUGCUUAUCAUCUGCAAUCUUCUAUUCAUGCCGUACUCAAGAAUAAAAGCAGUUUACACUGUCAUUUUUAGUAAGUUGCUUAUAAAUAACUGCAUUCUUCAAGUGACUUUGAACUUUAAAAAAAUUUGUCACAUAGUGUGUUAUGGCAAUAGUUUGAUUAUGUGUGAUUGCUUUUUACUUUCUGUGCAUAUUAAAUGUGGGUUCCACAUCACUAGAAAAAAGUCAAAAGAUUCAAACUCGUGUUUCAGAAUCAUCCGAAAAAGGAUGUAAUAUUACUCACAUUUCCCCUCUUGUUAUCCGAAAAUAGAAAUAAAGUGUUGUCUGGCUUAUUAAUUGAUUGAUUUCAGCAGAGACUAACAAACUAUCUCUUGCAGGCCAAAUUGGUUCUGCCAUCUCUUUUUGUAAAUUUUUUUUUUUUUUUUUUUUUGUCUUUUUGCCUUUUCUAGGUUCCCAGGCUAGGGGUCUAAUUGGAGCUGUAGCCACCGGCCUACACCAGAGCCACAGCAAUGCGGGAUCCGAGCCUCGUCUGCAACCUACACCACAGCUCAAGGCAAUGCUGGAUCCUUAACCCACUGAGCAAGGCCAAGGAUCGAACCUGCCACUCUCGUGUUCCUAGUCAGAUUCAUUAACCACUGAGCUAUGACGGGAACUCUUGUAAAUAAAAUUUUGUAAGAACACAGCCACAUGGAUUCAUUUAUGUAUUGUUCGUGGCUGCUUUCACACUGUAAGUGCACACUUGAAUAUUUGUGACAGAGACUGUAUGGCUUGAAAAAACAAAAAUAUUUUCCUUUACAGAAAAAGUUUGCAAACUCCUAUAUUAGGGUUUUAUAUAGGAACUUAAUUUCUAAAACAGGUAUUUAAAAAUUGCUUUAAUUUCUAAAGCAAUUUAAGAUGCCUUAAUUUCUAAGACAGAUUUUAAAAAAUUGCUUUCCCAGAUUAUUUUUAUUUGUAUUAACACUAUUAACUCAACAAAUACUUACGGAGCACCUUCUGUGAGGCACACACUUUACCAGGUGCUGGAAACAUGACAGUCAAAUGGUUAAAAUUCCUCACAGAGCUUACAUUCUAGUUGUAAUCAGUUGACAAUCAACAACCAGCAAGAUAAUCAGAAACAACAAAUUAACCAAAUCAAUAAUAACAUACUAAAAUAGUGUGACAGAUGAUGAGAUUAUUAUAUGCUAUGGAUAAAACAAAGAAGAAAAGGGAAGAAGCUAUAGGAGUUGGAGACAUUAAUAAACAUAUUUCCUGCUAUAUUUCAUUUAUAGUGUCCUAAGAUUGUCCUUGAAUAAAAUGAAGUUAUCUACUAGUACAUCCAAUAAAAUAACAACUCCCUAUCUCAAAUGCCUAUGUCCUAAGUGUAUUAUAUUCAGUUCAGACAACAUUAAAAUAACUUAUCGGCAUUAAAAAAAUGUAAAUGUUUCUGUGCCCACAAUUUACAAAAUGAAGCAAAAUUAAAAAAAAUUAUAUUAUGCAAAACCAAUCCCCAUAGAACAGUCCAUCACAUUAAACUAGUCCCUAUAAUUCUCCAUAAAUUCAGUUCUUGAUAUUGUUUGAGAAAAAUAAAUUCAGUAUAAAAGUGUUCAUGCCAGUUUAGCAAACAAUAAUAGCCCAAUAGUAUCUCAACAUGUUUAGAGAGCAGGAGGGAAAAAAUCUAAUAACAAUGAAAAUAAUUCUCCUGCAAUUCCCACUGUGGCUCAGUGAAUUCAGGACCUGACACAGUCUCUGCAAGGAUGUGAGUUCAACCCUUGCCUUACUUGGUAGGUAAAGGGUCUGGUGUUGCUGCAAGCUGUGGCUAUGAUCUGGUGUUGCUGUGGCUGUAGCGUAGGCCAGCAGCAGCAGCCCUGAUUCAACCCUUGCCUGGGAACUUUCAUAUGCUGCAGAUG
This 3034-nucleotide long non-coding RNA is filed under the name Sus scrofa (pig). Its description in RNAcentral is "lncRNA (ENSSSCG00000054640.1)". Lineage: Eukaryota; Metazoa; Chordata; Mammalia; Artiodactyla; Suidae. The record is from RNAcentral.